AGUGAACGCUGGCGGCAGGCCUAACACAUGCAAGUCGAGCGGCAGCGGGUUCCCGCGAGGGGAUGCCGGCGAGCGGCGGACGGGUGAGGAACACAUCGGAAUCUGCCUGGUUGUGGGGAUAACGUAGGGAAACUUACGCUAAUACCGCAUGAGACCCUGAGUCGACGGACGUGGGGGUGGAAAGUAGAGGGACCGUUCGGCCGUCACGCGACCAGAUGAGCCGAUGUCGGAUUAGCUAGUUGGCGGGGUAACGGCCCGCCAAGGCGACGAUCCGUAGCUGGUCUGAGAGGAUGAUCAGCCACACUGGGAC
This 310-nucleotide ribosomal RNA is filed under the name uncultured bacterium. Its description in RNAcentral is "bacterial SSU rRNA". It matches the Rfam family "Bacterial small subunit ribosomal RNA", at positions 30 to 319 of the family's 1533-position model. The record is from RNAcentral.